This 509-nucleotide ribosomal RNA is filed under the name uncultured bacterium. RNAcentral describes it as "SSU rRNA". It matches the Rfam family "Bacterial small subunit ribosomal RNA", at positions 26 to 523 of the family's 1533-position model. The record is from RNAcentral.
AGGACGAACGCUGGCGGCGCGCUUAACACAUGCAAGUCGAGCGAGAACCAGGGCUUCGGCUCUGGGGACAGCGGCGAACGGGUGAGUAACACGUGGGUAAUCAACCCUCGACAUCGGGAUAGCCCGGGGAAACCCGGAUUAAUACCGAAUGCUCCGUCUGGCCUUCGGGCCGGCCGGAAAAGGUAGCUUCGGCCUCCGGUCGGGGACGAGCCCGCGGCGGAUUAGCUUGUUGGUGGGGUAAAGGCCCACCAAGGCGACGAUCCGUAGCUGGUCUGAGAGGACGAUCAGCCACACUGGGACUGAGACACGGCCCAGACUCCUACGGGAGGCAGCAGUGGGGAAUCUUGCGCAAUGGGCGAAAGCCUGACGCAGCGACGCCGCGUGAGGGAAGAAGGCCUUCGGGUUGUAAACCUCUUUCAGGAGGGACGAAGCCACUCGGGUUAAUAGCCCAGAGGGUGACGGUACCUCCAGAAGAAGCCCGGCUAACUACGUGCCAGCAGCCGCGGUAA